RNAcentral lists this ribosomal RNA (513 nucleotides) under uncultured bacterium. Its description in RNAcentral is "bacterial SSU rRNA". It matches the Rfam family "Bacterial small subunit ribosomal RNA", at positions 19 to 518 of the family's 1533-position model. The record is from RNAcentral.
CUGGCUCAGGAUGAACGCUAGCUACAGGCUUAACACAUGCAAGUCGCGGGGCAUCAUGGCAUGUAGCAAUACAUGCUGAUGGCGACCGGCGGAUGGGUGAGUAACGCGUAUCCAACCUGGCCCUAUCUCGGGUACAGCCCCUCGAAAGAGGGAUUAAUCCCCGAUGUUCCCUGGGAUCCGCAUGUUUUCCAGGGCAAAGGCAUUUGUCGGAUAGGGAUGGGGAUGCGUUCCAUUAGGCAGUCGGCGGGGUAACGGCCCACCGAGCCUACGAUGGAUAGGGGUUCUGAGAGGAAGGCCCCCCACACUGGGACUGAGACACGGCCCAGACUCCUACGGGAGGCAGCAGUGAGGAAUAUUGGUCAAUGGCGGUAACGCUGAACCAGCCAAGUAGCCGUGAGGGAUUACGGCCCUAUGGGUUUUAAACCUCUUUUGUUAGGGAGCAACCGGUGGCACUAGUGCCAUUCUGCGAGUACCUUUCGAAUAAGCAUCGGCUAACUCCGUGCCAGCCGCAGC